This 886-nucleotide long non-coding RNA is filed under the name Drosophila guanche. The stretch from base 1 to 56 matches the Rfam family "mir-14 microRNA precursor family", at positions 8 to 63 of the family's 63-position model. The record is from RNAcentral. Lineage: Eukaryota; Metazoa; Arthropoda; Insecta; Diptera; Drosophilidae.
GCGAGACGGGGACUCACUGUGCUUUUGAAGUAGUCAGUCUUUUUCUCUCUCCUAUACAAAUUGCGGGCGUAUCAACAUGUUGAACCGACCAAAGUGCCCUUCCCUGCAUAGUUAAUAAUAGUUGUUAAUCCAGAGUGCCUCUAUAUUCCUAAGCUGCCUUUUCUAUGUAAUUGAAAUAAAUAAAUGCUCUCUUCCAACAGCGCUCAAUAGGAAAAGAAACUGUUCGUUGGCACUUUCCAGUGAACUGUGAGCUACUACAUGACUUCAUUACACGUUUCAUCGUUCCAUUCCGCACGCAUCGUUCAUAUUUCUAGCUCUGUCGCACGCAAGCACACACACACACAAUGUUCGAAGCUCCCCCAAAUAUGUUUCGUUGUGUGCUUUGCUCUUCCACGAAACGUAUCGUCACAGGAAGGGACGCAGCGGGAACGGACAUCAAACCGUUACGACUGUUGUUCUGGCUGUCUGUUGCUAAGUCAGUCAAUGAUAUGUACGGGGCUGCAUGAAAUGGAACGAGAGAAACGGAGAGACUCGAAAUGAAACUGUACAAUGAAUGGGCAAGAGGAAUACAACAAAAGCGAAACUUACGUAAACACGCAUGAGGAAAUAUGCAUACAUGCCCGUGUGUGAGCGUGAAUAAUAUUUCUAGUUUUUGGUAAAGAAGAAAUCAAGUUUGCCCUCUAUCGUAUGAUUCACUAUGGGAACUGGAAAGAGAAUUGGACUUUCAAAUGCCCAGACCAGCCAUUUUACAUUUGCAUGAGUGAAACGGCACGGCGGCAGUCGUCGUGUGUCAUGGGACUUUUUCCCAUUCGCAUUCGUCAAAAAUAUAAUUAAGAUGAAAUGACUAAGAGAUGCUAAAAACUAAAAUAAAAACUGCAAUUUCCCC